CCUACGGGAGGCUGCAGUGAGGCAUAUUGGUCAAUGGCCGUAAGGCUGAACCAGCCAAGUAGCGUGAGGGAAGACUGCCCUAUGGUUUGUAAACCUCUUUUAUGAGGGGAUAAAGGUGUGCACGUGUGGAUGUUUGCCGGUACCGAAUGACUAAGGACCGGCUAACUCCGUGCCAGCAGCCGCGGUAAUACGGAGGAUACGAGCGUUAUCCGGAUUUAUUGGGUUUAAAGGGAGCGUAGAUGGGUUGUUAAGUCAGUUGUGAAAGUUUGCGGCUCAACCGUAAAAUUGCAUUUGAUACUGGCAGUCUUGAGUACAGUUGAGGUAGGCGGAAUUCGUGGUGUAGCGGUGAAAUGCUUAGAUAUCACGAAGAACUCCGAUUGCGAAGGCAGCUUACUAAACUGCCACUGACAUUGAUGCUCGAAAGUGUGGGUAUCAAACAGGAUUAGAUACCCCGGUAGUC
RNAcentral lists this ribosomal RNA (460 nucleotides) under uncultured bacterium. Its description in RNAcentral is "partial 16S ribosomal RNA". It matches the Rfam family "Bacterial small subunit ribosomal RNA", at positions 338 to 795 of the family's 1533-position model. The record is from RNAcentral.